ACUCCGGUAGCUCAAGAGGUAGAGCAGCGGUCUCCAAAACCGCAUGUUGCAGGUUCGAACCCUGCCGGGAGUG
This 73-nucleotide transfer RNA is filed under the name Caudoviricetes sp. RNAcentral's name for it is "tRNA-Trp". It matches the Rfam family "tRNA". From Rfam's summary of the family: Transfer RNA (tRNA) molecules are approximately 80 nucleotides in length. Their secondary structure includes four short double-helical elements and three loops (D, anti-codon, and T loops). Further hydrogen bonds mediate the characteristic L-shaped molecular structure. tRNAs have two regions of fundamental functional importance: the anti-codon, which is responsible for specific mRNA codon recognition, and the 3' end, to which the tRNAs corresponding amino acid is attached (by aminoacyl-tRNA synthetases). tRNAs cope with the degeneracy of the genetic code in two manners: having more than one tRNA (with a specific anti-codon) for a particular amino acid; and 'wobble' base-pairing, i.e. permitting non-standard base-pairing at the 3rd anti-codon position. The record is from RNAcentral. Lineage: Duplodnaviria; Heunggongvirae; Uroviricota; Caudoviricetes.